This 428-nucleotide unclassified non-coding RNA is filed under the name fungal sp. RNAcentral's name for it is "partial internal transcribed spacer region". The stretch from base 1 to 46 matches the Rfam family "Eukaryotic small subunit ribosomal RNA", at positions 1786 to 1831 of the family's 1831-position model. Lineage: Eukaryota; Fungi. The record is from RNAcentral.
AAGUCGUAACAAGGUUUCCGUAGGUGAACCUGCGGAAGGAUCAUUAAACGUAACAGUAAGCCUGUGAUGCCGGCUUUGCCCUAUGGUCGGGUAGAUGUCCGGAGGUUCACGCUUUAGCGGGUGUGUUAGCGGCCACAGAGGUGGGCGUUGUCGGGGCCGGAUGGCGAUGCACAGGGAUUGGCGUGCUGACCCUACCGGCAAAGGCUUCGUUCGCAGUACCCGGAAGGGCUACACUCUGGAAGGUAUGGGGGUUCCACGAAACUCCCUUCACGCGCACAUGACUGAAUCCUUAUUAUACUCGUACCUCUCGUUCUCCUUCGGUGGGGCAACCUGCCGUUGGAACUUUACAAACCCUUUUUUGCAUCUAGCGUUACCUGUUCUGAUACAAACAAUCGUUACAACUUUCAACAAUGGAUCUCUUGGCUCUG